GACGAACGCUGGCGGCGUGCCUAAUACAUGCAAGUCGAGCGGACGAAUCGAAAGCUUGCUUUUGAUUCGUUAGCGGCGGACGGGUGAGUAACACGUGGGCAACCUGCCCUGUAGACGGGGAUAACACCGAGAAAUCGGUGCUAAUACCGGAUAACACGAAAUGUCGCAUGACGUUUCGUUGAAAGACGGCGCAAGCUGUCGCUACAGGAUGGGCCCGCGGCGCAUUAGCUAGUUGGUGAGGUAACGGCUCACCAAGGCGACGAUGCGUAGCCGACCUGAGAGGGUGAUCGGCCACCCUGGGACUGAGCAACGGCCCAGACUCCUACGGGAGGCAGCAGUAGGGAAUCUUCCGCAAAGGACGAAAGUCUGACGGAGCAACGCCGCGUGAGCGAAGAAGGCCUUCGGGUCGUAAAGCUCUGUUGUUAGGGAAGAACAAGUAACGCAGUAACUGGCGUUACCGUGACGGUACCUAACGAGAAAGCCACGGCUAACUACGUG
Molecule: ribosomal RNA, 498 nt
Filed under: uncultured bacterium
Lineage: Bacteria
Description: partial 16S ribosomal RNA
Rfam family: Bacterial small subunit ribosomal RNA
Source: RNAcentral